GGGUUGUGAGGUUAAGCGACUAAGCGUACACGGUGGAUGCCCUGGCAGUCAGAGGCGAUGAAGGACGUGCUAAUCUGCGAAAAGCGUCGGUAAGGUGAUAUGAACCGUUAUAACCGGCGAUGUCCGAAUGGGGAAACCCAGUGCAAUUCGUUGCACUAUCGUUAACUGAAUACAUAGGUUAACGAGGCGAACCGGGGGAACUGAAACAUCUAAGUACCCCGAGGAAAAGAAAUCAACCGAGAUUCCCCCAGUAGCGGCGAGCGAACGGGGAGCAGCCCAGAGUCUGAAUCAGCUUGUGUGUUAGUGGAACGGUCUGGAAAGUCCGACGGUACAGGGUGAUAGUCCCGUACACCAAAAUGCACAGGUUGUGAACUCGAAGAGUAGGGCGGGACACGUGGUAUCCUGUCUGAAUAUGGGGGGACCAUCCUCCAAGGCUAAAUACUCCUGACUGACCGAUAGUGAACCAGUACCGUGAGGGAAAGGCGAAAAGAACCCCGGCGAGGGGAGUGAAAAAGAACCUGAAACCGUGUACGUACAAGCAGUGGGAGCACCUUCGGGUGUGACUGCGUACCUUUUGUAUAAUGGGUCAGCGACUUAUAUUCUGUAGCAAGGUUAACCGUAUAGGGGAGCCGCAGGGAAACCGAGUCUUAACUGGGCGUUAAGUUGCAGGGUAUAGACCCGAAACCCGGUGAUCUAGCCAUGGGCAGGUUGAAGGUUGGGUAACACUAACUGGAGGACCGAACCGACUAAUGUUGAAAAAUUAGCGGAUGACUUGUGGCUGGGGGUGAAAGGCCAAUCAAACCGGGAGAUAGCUGGUUCUCCCCGAAAGCUAUUUAGGUAGCGCCUCGUGAACUCAUCUUCGGGGGUAGAGCACUGUUUCGGCUAGGGGGUCAUCCCGACUUACCAACCCGAUGCAAACUACGAAUACCGAAGAAUGUUAUCACGGGAGACACACGGCGGGUGCUAACGUCCGUCGUGAAGAGGGAAACAACCCAGACCGCCAGCUAAGGUCCCAAAGUCAUGGUUAAGUGGGAAACGAUGUGGGAAGGCACAGACAGCCAGGAUGUUGGCUUAGAAGCAGCCAUCAUUUAAAGAAAGCGUAAUAGCUCACUGGUCGAGUCGGCCUGCGCGGAAGAUGUAACGGGGCUAAACCAUGCACCGAAGCUGCGGCAGCGACACUAUGUGUUGUUGGGUAGGGGAGCGUUCUGUAAGCCUGCGAAGGUGACCUGUGAGGGUUGCUGGAGGUAUCAGAAGUGCGAAUGCUGACAUAAGUAACGAUAAAGCGGGUGAAAAGCCCGCUCGCCGGAAGACCAAGGGUUCCUGUCCAACGUUAAUCGGGGCAGGGUGAGUCGACCCCUAAGGCGAGGCCGAAAGGCGUAGUCGAUGGGAAACAGGUUAAUAUUCCUGUACUUGGUGUUACUGCGAAGGGGGGACGGAGAAGGCUAUGUUAGCCGGGCGACGGUUGUCCCGGUUUAAGCAUGUAGGCUGGUUGUCCAGGCAAAUCCGGAUAAUCAAGGCUGAGGUGUGAUGACGAGGCACUACGGUGCUGAAGUAACAAAUGCCCUGCUUCCAGGAAAAGCCUCUAAGCAUCAGGUAACAUCAAAUCGUACCCCAAACCGACACAGGUGGUCAGGUAGAGAAUACCAAGGCGCUUGAGAGAACUCGGGUGAAGGAACUAGGCAAAAUGGUGCCGUAACUUCGGGAGAAGGCACGCUGGUGUGUAGGUGAAGCCCCUGCGGGUGGAGCUGAGACCAGUCGAAGAUACCAGCUGGCUGCAACUGUUUAUUAAAAACACAGCACUGUGCAAACACGAAAGUGGACGUAUACGGUGUGACGCCUGCCCGGUGCCGGAAGGUUAAUUGAUGGGGUUAUCCGUAAGGAGAAGCUCUUGAUCGAAGCCCCGGUAAACGGCGGCCGUAACUAUAACGGUCCUAAGGUAGCGAAAUUCCUUGUCGGGUAAGUUCCGACCUGCACGAAUGGCGUAAUGAUGGCCAGGCUGUCUCCACCCGAGACUCAGUGAAAUUGAACUCGCUGUGAAGAUGCAGUGUACCCGCGGCAAGACGGAAAGACCCCGUGAACCUUUACUAUAGCUUGACACUGAACAUUGAGCCUUGAUGUGUAGGAUAGGUGGGAGGCUUUGAAGCGUGGACGCCAGUCUGCGUGGAGCCAACCUUGAAAUACCACCCUUUAAUGUUUGAUGUUCUAACGUUGGCCCCUGACCGGGGUUGCGGACAGUGUCUGGUGGGUAGUUUGACUGGGGCGGUCUCCUCCCAAAGCGUAACGGAGGAGCACGAAGGUUAGCUAAUCCUGGUCGGACAUCAGGAGGUUAGUGCAAUGGCAUAAGCUAGCUUGACUGCGAGCGUGACGGCGCGAGCAGGUGCGAAAGCAGGUCAUAGUGAUCCGGUGGUUCUGAAUGGAAGGGCCAUCGCUCAACGGAUAAAAGGUACUCCGGGGAUAACAGGCUGAUACCGCCCAAGAGUUCAUAUCGACGGCGGUGUUUGGCACCUCGAUGUCGGCUCAUCACAUCCUGGGGCUGAAGUAGGUCCCAAGGGUAUGGCUGUUCGCCAUUUAAAGUGGUACGCGAGCUGGGUUUAGAACGUCGUGAGACAGUUCGGUCCCUAUCUGCCGUGGGCGCUGGAGAAUUGAGGGGGGCUGCUCCUAGUACGAGAGGACCGGAGUGGACGCAUCACUGGUGUUCGGGUUGUCAUGCCAAUGGCACUGCCCGGUAGCUAAAUGCGGAAGAGAUAAGUGCUGAAAGCAUCUAAGCACGAAACUUGCCCCGAGAUGAGUUCUCCCUGAGACUAUAAGUCUCCUGAAGGAACGUUAAAGACGAUGACGUUGAUAGGCCGGGUGUGUAAGCGCAGCGAUGCGUUGAGCUAACCGGUACUAAUGAACCGUGAGGCUUAACCUUACAACGCCGAAG
Molecule: ribosomal RNA, 2923 nt
Filed under: Klebsiella pneumoniae
Lineage: Bacteria; Pseudomonadati; Pseudomonadota; Gammaproteobacteria; Enterobacterales; Enterobacteriaceae
Also listed under: 1 other name
Description: 23S ribosomal RNA
Rfam family: Bacterial large subunit ribosomal RNA
Source: RNAcentral